Molecule: ribosomal RNA, 671 nt
Filed under: Arthrobacter globiformis
Lineage: Bacteria; Bacillati; Actinomycetota; Actinomycetes; Micrococcales; Micrococcaceae
Description: bacterial SSU rRNA
Rfam family: Bacterial small subunit ribosomal RNA
Source: RNAcentral
GCGUAAGAGCUCGUAGGCGGUUUGUCGCGUCUGCCGUGAAAGUCCGGGGCUCAACUCCGGAUCUGCGGUGGGUACGGGCAGACUAGAGUGAUGUAGGGGAGACUGGAAUUCCUGGUGUAGCGGUGAAAUGCGCAGAUAUCAGGAGGAACACCGAUGGCGAAGGCAGGUCUCUGGGCAUUAACUGACGCUGAGGAGCGAAAGCAUGGGGAGCGAACAGGAUUAGAUACCCUGGUAGUCCAUGCCGUAAACGUUGGGCACUAGGUGUGGGGGACAUUCCACGUUUUCCGCGCCGUAGCUAACGCAUUAAGUGCCCCGCCUGGGGAGUACGGCCGCAAGGCUAAAACUCAAAGGAAUUGACGGGGGCCCGCACAAGCGGCGGAGCAUGCGGAUUAAUUCGAUGCAACGCGAAGAACCUUACCAAGGCUUGACAUGGACCGGACCGCCGCAGAAAUGUGGUUUCCCCUUUGGGGCUGGUUUACAGGUGGUGCAUGGUUGUCGUCAGCUCGUGUCGUGAGAUGUUGGGUUAAGUCCCGCAACGAGCGCAACCCUCGUUCUAUGUUGCCAGCACGUGAUGGUGGGGACUCAUAGGAGACUGCCGGGGUCAACUCGGAGGAAGGUGGGGACGACGUCAAAUCAUCAUGCCCCUUAUGUCUUGGGCUUCACGCAUGCUA